This 83-nucleotide transfer RNA is filed under the name Canis lupus familiaris (dog). It matches the Rfam family "tRNA". Rfam says of the family: Transfer RNA (tRNA) molecules are approximately 80 nucleotides in length. Lineage: Eukaryota; Metazoa; Chordata; Mammalia; Carnivora; Canidae. The record is from Rfam by way of RNAcentral. RNAcentral also lists the same sequence under 1 other name.
GCCUGGGUGGCUUAGCAGUUGAGCGUCUGCCUUUGGAUCAGGGCAUGAUUUCGGGGUCUGGGGAUCGAGUCCCACCUCAGGCA